RNAcentral lists this ribosomal RNA (468 nucleotides) under uncultured bacterium. RNAcentral describes it as "partial 16S ribosomal RNA". It matches the Rfam family "Bacterial small subunit ribosomal RNA", at positions 28 to 507 of the family's 1533-position model. The record is from RNAcentral.
GACGAACGCUGGCGGCGUGCUUAACACAUGCAAGUCGAACGGAAAGGCCCUGCUUUUGUGGGGUGCUCGAGUGGCGAACGGGUGAGUAACACGUGAGUAACCUGCCCUUGACUUUGGGAUAACUUCAGGAAACUGGGGCUAAUACCGGAUAGGAGCUCCUGCUGCAUGGUGGGGGUUGGAACGUUUCGGCGGUUGGGGAUGGACUCGCGGCUUAUCAGCUUGUUGGUUGGGUAGUGGCUUACCAAGGCUUUGACGGGUAGCCGGCCUGAGAGGGUGACCGGCCACAUGGGGACUGAGAUACGGCCCAGACGGCUACGGGAGGCAGCAGUGGGGAAUAUUGCACAAUGGGCGGAAGCCUGAUGCAGCAACGCCGCGGGCGGGAUGACGGCCUUCGGGUUGUAAACCGCUUUCGCCUGUGACGAAGCGUGAGUGACGGUAAUGGGUAAAGAAGCACCGGCUAACUACGUG